Non-coding RNA from Carassius carassius (crucian carp), 504 nucleotides. The record is from the annotation of a RefSeq genome assembly. NCBI's taxonomy places the organism in Eukaryota, Metazoa, Chordata, Actinopteri, Cypriniformes, Cyprinidae.
AUGAUCUCUUCGUCUUUAGUGUUGCUUCUGGCAGUGGUAUCCUGUAUUGAUUCAUAUGAAUUCACUCAGCCUGAGUCUCUGACUGUCCGUCCUGAUGCCACUCUGACUAUCAACUGUAAAGUCUCCUAUUCAGUUACAAGCUACGUUACAGCCUGGGUUCGUCAGCCUGCAGGAAAAGCUUUGGAGUGGAUUGGAGUGAUCUGGACUGAUGGAGGCUUAGCCUACAAGGAAUCCCUGAAGAACAAGUUCAGCAUCACCAGAGACACUUCCAGUGACACAGUAACACUGCAAGGAAAGAACAUGCAAGCUGAAGACACAGCUGUGUAUUAUUGUGCCAAACGUGCACAGUUACAGAUGGCAACAGUUUCCCUGUACAAAAACAUCAUCAUAUUAACAUUACAGUAUUUAUCAUGUUUUGUCCUUUUAAGUUUUCACAACUGAUAUUCACUGAUGUUCAUCAUUCACAGCUUAAAUUCAUUUGAUGAUAUUAAUGAGCAAAACCUA